UGUAUAGGGAAACUGGCUCAAAUGUGUCUGUACCCAGAUAAGUAUUCGUAAUUAAUAUGAGAUUAACGUAAGAUUAAUUAAAAUUCUAAGUAGGUAUGCUGAUAAUGACAAUAUCGUGCUUAGCGUCUUGACCAAGUCACGCGCCAGCAGUCGCGGUAAUACNUGGAAGACAAGUGUUAUUCAUCUUUAUUGGGUUUAAAGGGUACCUAGACGGUUAAUUAAGCAAUGCAGAUGUACUAAUUAACUAGAGUUUAAUGUAAGAAGGAUUGAGUACGGUGAGUGUAGAGAUAAAAUUCUUUGAUACCACUUAGGAACUGGUAACGGCGAAGGCGACCUUCAAUGUAAAAACUGACGUUAAGGGACGAAGGCUUGUAAUAAAUAACAGGAUUAGAUACCCUAGUAUUGUGAGCAGACAAUGAUGAGUGUCAUAUACAAGAUUUUUUUUGUGUAUAAAUGAAAGUGUAAGCACUCCACCUCAAGAGUAACGUGGCAACAUGGGAACUGAAAUCAUUAGNCCGUUUCUGAAACUCGUAGUGAAGUAUGUUGUUUAAUUUGAUAAUCCUCAAAUAACCUUACCACAAUUUGAAUAACUAACAACUUUCAGUGCAUUGCACUUGAAGUAUAGUNACNAGAGUUGCACGGCNGUCUUCAGUCAAUGUUGUGAAACUUUGGUUAGAUCCAUUUAAUUGGCGUAAACCCUUNCAUUAUUUACUAUAAUGAUGUUCNCCGCUAUAUUGGUAUGUUAUAUAGUGGGANCUAAGCACAAUGUCAUCCAUGCCCC
RNAcentral lists this ribosomal RNA (781 nucleotides) under Ocellularia sp. Lumbsch 19144d. RNAcentral's name for it is "SSU rRNA". It matches the Rfam family "Bacterial small subunit ribosomal RNA", at positions 1 to 1201 of the family's 1533-position model. The record is from RNAcentral. Lineage: Eukaryota; Fungi; Ascomycota; Lecanoromycetes; Ostropales; Graphidaceae.